GACGUAGGGCGCGAGCGUUGUCCGGAUUUAUUGGGCGUAAAGAGCUCGUAGGCGGUUUGUCGCGUCUGCUGUGAAAACUCGGGGCUUAACCCCGGGCCUGCAGUGGGUACGGGCAGACUAGAGUGCGGUAGGGGAGACUGGAAUUCCUGGUGUAGCGGUGAAAUGCGCAGAUAUCAGGAAGAACACCUAUGGCGAAGGCAGCACUCUGGGACGGUACUGACGCUGAGACGCGAAAGCGUGGGGAGCGAACAGG
This 253-nucleotide ribosomal RNA is filed under the name uncultured bacterium. Its description in RNAcentral is "partial 16S ribosomal RNA". It matches the Rfam family "Bacterial small subunit ribosomal RNA", at positions 524 to 776 of the family's 1533-position model. The record is from RNAcentral.